Molecule: long non-coding RNA, 2178 nt
Filed under: Homo sapiens (human)
Lineage: Eukaryota; Metazoa; Chordata; Mammalia; Primates; Hominidae
Description: HSALNT0232359
Source: RNAcentral
AACGUUGGUUGGGGAUACUCACUGACAGCAGCAAGACUGGCAGUAAUCUCAACCUUUGCCUUCAGACUAGAGCAGACCUCAUCAAUCAACCUAUCCAUCAAUGUAUGGGUACCUGUUAAGACGUUCAGGAUCCAGUUGUAAGAAUCAGCUGGGAACAAUGACUGCCAAAAGUGUCCAGAGGAAGUCUGCAGGACCUGGGUCUCUCCUAGGUGGAAUAUUCUUUGAAAUCAGAAGGAAAGUAACUUGGGUCUGGCCUUGAUGAGGCUCCUGAAUUUUCCUGCUUGUGAUACGGUGGUGUUCUGAAGACUGGCAAGUACCUUUCUUGUUUCUCUGCUGCUAUCCUGAAAAUGUGACUUGCGUGCAUUUGGGAGAAAGGUUUGCUGCCUGGGACAGUGCAACACAAGUUUAGAAGGCAGACUUGAAUCUGUCUGCACAUUUGGUCAGGUGAGCUUGGGCAUGCUCUUUAACAUCUGAAACUUUCCUUCUCCUUUUAUGCAAAAAAGGAGAAAAUCACCUGGGUGCAGGGUGGAGGAGGUAGCACUAAUAUUUACUGAGCAUUUACUAUGUCCCAAACAUUUCUUCUUCUCAGUGCUUUAUAUGUGUUCUCUCAUGUGAGCCUACAGUUACCUGUGAGAUAGAUAGUAACAUAAUCUGGACCUCACAAACAAACUGCCACAGAGAAGUAACUUGUUGAAAGCCACACAAAUAAGAUUGGAAUCCAGGAAAUCUGGCUUCUCGGCCACCAUUCUUUUUUUUUUUUUUAGAUGGAGUCUGGCUCUGUCACCCAGGCUGGAGUGCAGUGGCGAGAUCUCGGCUCACUGCAAGCUCCGCCUCCCGGUUUCAUGCCAUUCUCCUGCUUCAGCCUCCCGAGUAGCUGGGGCUACAGGCGCGCGCCACCACGCCCAACUAAUUUUUUGUAUUUUUAGUAGAGACAAGGUUUCACCAUCUUGGCCAGGAUGGUCUUGAUUCUUGACCUUGUGAUCCACCUGCCUCGGCCUCCCAAAGUGCUGGGAUCACAGGCGUGAGCCACUGUGCCUGUCAGCCACCAUUCUUAACCAUAACUGCCUCAGUAUGUUGUUGAGAGAAAUAACUAAAAAGAUGAACGUUAAACACAAAACAGUGCCAGGCACAUGGACGUGCUUAUUACAUGUAGCUGAAACAACAAAUCAUCAUCAUCCUCAGUAGCAAUAUCAAUAAUAUGGAUGGAAGGGCAGUUUUUCCAUUUGUUACAGGUGGAAUUUAAUCUCCUGAGAACCAGGUAAAGAGAUCUUCAUUUCACCCAUAAGUCCAAUCAGUACUUGGUGAAGGAUUCCUUCUUUCUUCCUCACCUGUCCUCCCCCUAGUGAACCACUGGUGUCAUUAAGAAACAGUUAACACACAUCAUCUUUCUUAGCUAUUUUUGCUGCCUGCCAUCUGGAGUGCCUCGGCUCUCUUGGAUGUGUUCACACUAAAUCAGCAGAUGAAAGCAUUAACUAAUUUCUCCAUUUCAGAUCCGCUCAUUUGGGUAACGAUGACCUUUAAAACGAGUGUCAUCCACCUCAUAACCAUGUGCCAUAUGUUGGAUGUCGGAUAAUAAAGCAUAUUUAAACUUAGCAGGCUCCAUAACACCUUAUGGCUGGUUGGUGAUUAACUAAUAACUUCCUUACCAGCAUCUUCCCGGUUAAGGCUGACAAAGCGUUUUGUUUGCCACUUAGUGUCCGUUUCCAUUGGAACCUUUUCAAACAUACUCCUAGAAGACUUGAUUGUGCACUGAAGCUUUCUCGUUCACUCUUGGCAUAUGGGGCCAGCACAUUUUCUCCCCCAGAUAUUUUAUUUCAUGCAAAAACAUAAUACCAGACACUGAUCCCUGAGUGCCAGACAUUGAUCCCUGAGUGCCAAGUGCCAAGAUCCCAUUUACUGUUCACAAAAGCUCCACAGGACAAGGGUUUCUGUGCCCAUUUAUGUACAGAUGAGAGUGAGGGUCAAAGAAACCGAGCAAUUAGCGCAAGUUCAUGGAAGGGCUGAGAUCUGAACCCAGAUCUCUUUCCCUAAAUGCCAUGACUGUAUUUUUACUUAUUUUUGUUUUUGCUAAAAUGCAAGAUACCAUUUUGGGUGUUUUGUUUUCCUCCCAUUCAGGGAAUCAAGCUAUGCCCUAGUUCAUGUCUUCAUCAGAAUGGGAAGCUUUAAAAGUUAAUUCCC